This 247-nucleotide ribosomal RNA is filed under the name uncultured bacterium. Its description in RNAcentral is "partial small subunit ribosomal RNA". It matches the Rfam family "Bacterial small subunit ribosomal RNA", at positions 26 to 285 of the family's 1533-position model. The record is from RNAcentral.
AGAAUCAACGCUGGCGGCGUGCCUAACACAUGCAAGUCGAACGAGAAAGUGGAGCAAUCCAUGAGUAAAGUGGCGACCGGGUGAGUAACACGUGACUAACCUACCUUCGAGUGGGGGAGUAACCCCGGAAACCGGGGCUAAUACCGCAUAACAUCGCAAGAUCAAAGCAGCAAUGCGCUGGAAGAGGGGGUCGCGGCGUGAUUAGCUAGUUGGCGGGGUAACGGCCCACCGAAGGCGAAGAUCGGUA